AUCGCUUCUCGGCCUUUUGGCUAAGAUCAAGUGUAGUAUCUGUUCUUAUCAGUUUAAUAUCUGAUACGUCCCCUAUCCGGGGACCAUAUAUUAAAUUGAUUUUUGGAACAGGGAGAUGGAAUAGGAGCUUGCGUGCAGUGUUGCCAACUUAGCGACUUUGUCGCUAUAUUUAGCGAGUUUUCAGACCCCCU
Molecule: small nuclear RNA, 191 nt
Filed under: Oreochromis aureus
Lineage: Eukaryota; Metazoa; Chordata; Actinopteri; Cichliformes; Cichlidae
Description: U2 spliceosomal RNA
Rfam family: U2 spliceosomal RNA
About the family: U2 is a small nuclear RNA (snRNA) component of the spliceosome (involved in pre-mRNA splicing).
Source: Rfam by way of RNAcentral